GCACAUGCACUCCUACUCAUAUUCAAUCCCCAAAUACAUUUGUUUUUCAAUCAGCAUGGACUCCUGCACCUAUUCAGUCCCCAGAUGCAUUUUUUUAGUCAUCAGUUCAAGUUAAUCCCUCAAAUGAAGAUGCUCUUCAUUCACCACCUCAAGUAGGAGGAAAUUCUCAUGUACAAGAUGAACAUGAAUAAGAUGAAAAUUAGGAUACUUUGUUGGAAGUUGAACAAGAAAGGCCACCAACACACAAGGAAGCAUGGUUGGUUGAUGUUAUUGAUGACCAAUGUAAGAUGACUACCAAACACUUAAAAACAAAUGAUGUUUGGAAUUUGCCUCAAAAUGAAAGGAUUAUUGUACAUUGGAAUGAGGAAUAUCAACCAAUUGGAGAUGGUGGCGCAUUAUUGAAUCGAUUCUUGGGAAGUAUCGCUA
This is a non-coding RNA of Vigna umbellata (rice bean), 426 nucleotides long. The record is from RefSeq and is a predicted model, not a curated record. NCBI's taxonomy places the organism in Eukaryota, Viridiplantae, Streptophyta, Magnoliopsida, Fabales, Fabaceae.